AAGAGACAGCAGUCGCCACGGGAAAACGUAGGGUGCGAGCGUUAAUCGGAAUUACUGGGCGUAAAGCGUGCGCAGGCGGUUGUGUAAGACAGGUGUGAAAUCCCCGGGCUCAACCUGGGAAUGGCGCUUGUGACUGCAAAGCUAGAGUGCGGCAGAGGGGGAUGGAAUUCCGCGUGUAGCAGUGAAAUGCGUAGAUAUGCGGAGGAACACCGAUGACGAAGGCAAUCCCCUGGGCCUGCACUGACGCUCAUGCACGAAAGCGUGGGGAGCAAACAGGAUUAGAUACCCGCGUAGUCCCUGUCUCUUAUAC
Molecule: ribosomal RNA, 310 nt
Filed under: uncultured bacterium
Lineage: Bacteria
Description: partial 16S ribosomal RNA
Rfam family: Bacterial small subunit ribosomal RNA
Source: RNAcentral